GAGUAAAGGUAGAGAAACCCGAUUACACCCUUGGAUGAGAGUAAACAGCCCCAAUUCCUCUUGCUCAAAUUGAAUCGAUUCUUGUUCCUCUUGCUCGAUUUGAAAAUCAAUCAACGAACCUCGCCCAAUCUUCAAUCUUUGAAGGAAAUCCGAUUGAAACCUUGAUUCAAGUCUCCUUUUCCCUUGGUUCCGGCUCAGAAAACCCUUAGAGAGAGAAAUAUUAGGGUUUGGGACGUUCUCUC
This 242-nucleotide long non-coding RNA is filed under the name Ricinus communis (castor bean). RNAcentral's name for it is "long non-coding RNA (RCOM_LNC000947)". The record is from RNAcentral. Lineage: Eukaryota; Viridiplantae; Streptophyta; Magnoliopsida; Malpighiales; Euphorbiaceae.